UACGAAGGGGGCUAGCGUUGUUCGGAAUCACUGGGCGUAAAGGGCGCGUAGGCGGCCUGAUAAGUCGGGGGUGAAAGCCUGUGGCUCAACCACAGAAUUGCCUUCGAUACUAUUAGGCUUGAGACCGGAAGAGGUAAGUGGAACUGCGAGUGUAGAGGUGAAAUUCGUAGAUAUUCGCAAGAACACCAGUGGCGAAGGCGGCUUACUGGUCCGGUUCUGACGCUGAGGCGCGAAAGCGUGGGGAGCAAACAGG
Molecule: ribosomal RNA, 253 nt
Filed under: uncultured bacterium
Lineage: Bacteria
Description: partial 16S ribosomal RNA
Rfam family: Bacterial small subunit ribosomal RNA
Source: RNAcentral